UAACCAUCGAGUCUUUGAACGCCAGUUGCGCCCGAAGCCACUAGGCCGAGGGCACGCCUGCCUGGGUGUCACGCAUCGCGUCGCCCCCUCCCCGCGCCCAAACGCGCGGCGGUGGUGGAAAGUGGUCCCCCGUGCGCGGUGUCGCGCGGUCGGCCCAAAUGUGAUCCCCGGCGACGCACGUCACGACAAGUGGUGGUUGAACCCUCAACGCGCUUUGUCGUGCACCACCGUGUCGGGACGCAUGAUCAGACCCAAUGGCACGUGCGAGCACGUCGCCUUCGACCGCGACCCCAGGUCAGGCGGGAUCACCCGCUGAGUUUAAGCAUAUCAAUAAGCGGAGGAAAAGAA
This 348-nucleotide ribosomal RNA is filed under the name Pogostemon cablin (patchouli). RNAcentral describes it as "eukaryotic LSU rRNA". The stretch from base 286 to 348 matches the Rfam family "Eukaryotic large subunit ribosomal RNA", at positions 1 to 63 of the family's 3401-position model. The record is from RNAcentral. Lineage: Eukaryota; Viridiplantae; Streptophyta; Magnoliopsida; Lamiales; Lamiaceae.